This 274-nucleotide ribosomal RNA is filed under the name uncultured bacterium. RNAcentral describes it as "partial 16S ribosomal RNA". It matches the Rfam family "Bacterial small subunit ribosomal RNA", at positions 523 to 796 of the family's 1533-position model. The record is from RNAcentral.
CUACGGAGGGAGCUAGCGUUGUUCGGAAUUACUGGGCGUAAAGCGCACGUAGGCGGACUGAUUAGUCAGAGGUGAAAUCCCAGGGCUCAACCCUGGAACUGCCUUUGAUACUGUCAAUCUAGAGACCGAGAGAGGUGAGUGGAAUUUCCAGUGUAGAGGUGAAAUUCGUAGAUAUUGGAAAGAACACCAGUGGCGAAGGCGGCUCACUGGCUCGGUACUGACGCUGAGGUGCGAAAGCGUGGGGAGCAAACAGGAUUAGAAACCCCAGUAGUCC